CCUACGUGGGGCAGCAGUGAGGAAUAUUGGUCAAUGGUCGGGAGACUGAACCAGCCAAGCCGCGUGAGGGAUGAAGGUACAGAGUAUCGUACACCUCUUUUGUCAGGGAACAAAGGCGGGGACGCGUCCACGGGUGAGUGUACCUGAAGAAAAAGCAUCGGCUAACUCCGUGCCAGCAGCCGAGGUAAUACGGAGGAUGCGAGCGUUAUCCGGAUUUAUUGGGUUUAAAGGGUGCGCAGGCGGUCUGUUAAGUCAGCGGUCAAAGCCCGGGGCUCAACCCCGGCCCGCCGUUGAAACUGGCAGUCUCGAGUUGGAGAGAAGUAUGCGGAAUGCGCGGUGUAGCGGUGAAAUGCAUAGAUAUCGCGCAGAACUCCGAUUGCGAAGGCAGCAUGCCGGCUCCACACUGACGCUGAGGCACGAAAGCGUGGGUAGCGAACAGGAUUAGAUACCCUGGUAGUC
Molecule: ribosomal RNA, 459 nt
Filed under: uncultured bacterium
Lineage: Bacteria
Description: partial 16S ribosomal RNA
Rfam family: Bacterial small subunit ribosomal RNA
Source: RNAcentral